RNAcentral lists this ribosomal RNA (500 nucleotides) under uncultured bacterium. Its description in RNAcentral is "bacterial SSU rRNA". It matches the Rfam family "Bacterial small subunit ribosomal RNA", at positions 30 to 521 of the family's 1533-position model. The record is from RNAcentral.
AUUGAACGCUGGCGGCAUGCUUUACACAUGCAAGUCGAACGGUAACAGGCCUUCGGGUGCUGACGAGUGGCGAACGGGUGAGUAAUGUAUCGGAACGUGCCCAGUAGUGGGGGAUAGCCCGGCGAAAGCCGGAUUAAUACCGCAUGAGAACUGAGGUUGAAAGCGGGGGACCUUCGGGCCUCGCGCUACUGGAGCGGCUGAUAUCAGAUUAGGUAGUUGGUGGGGUAAAGGCUCACCAAGCCUGCGAUCUGUAGCUGGUCUGAGAGGACGACCAGCCACACUGGGACUGAGACACGGCCCAGACUCCUACGGGAGGCAGCAGUGGGGAAUUUUGGACAAUGGGCGCAAGCCUGAUCCAGCAAUGCCGCGUGCAGGACGAAGGCCUUCGGGUUGUAAACUGCUUUUGUUACAGAACGAAAAGACCUUGGGUGAAUACCCUCGAGGGACAUGACGGUACUGUAAGAAUAAGCACCGGCUAACUACGUGCCAGCAGCCGCGGU